CAGCAGCCACGGGAACACGAAGGGGGCUAGCGUUACUCGGAAUUACUGGGCGUAAAGGGCGCGUAGGCGGCACGAUUAGUCAGGCGUGAAAUUCCUGGGCUCAACCUGGGGACUGCGCUUGAUACGGUCGAGCUAGAGGAUGGAAGAGGGUUGUGGAAUUCCCAGUGUAGAGGUGAAAUUCGUAGAUAUUGGGAAGAACACCGGUGGCGAAGGCGGCAACCUGGUCCAUUACUGACGCUGAGGCGCGACAGCGUGGGGAGCAAACAGGAUUAGAUACCCCGGUAGUCCCUGUCUCUUAUAC
This 301-nucleotide ribosomal RNA is filed under the name uncultured bacterium. RNAcentral describes it as "partial 16S ribosomal RNA". It matches the Rfam family "Bacterial small subunit ribosomal RNA", at positions 509 to 807 of the family's 1533-position model. The record is from RNAcentral.